CCUACGGGCGGCAGCAGUGGGGAAUAUUGGACAAUGGGGGCAACCCUGAUCCAGCCAUGACGCGUGUGUGAAGAAGGCCCUCGGGUUGUAAAGCACUUUCAGUGAGGAAGAACGCCUGGUGGUUAAUACCCAUCAGGAAAGACAUCACUCACAGAAGAAGCACCGGCUAACUCCGUGCCAGCAGCCGCGGUAAUACGGAGGGUGCGAGCGUUAAUCGGAAUUACUGGGCGUAAAGCGCGCGUAGGUGGCUUGAUAAGCCGGUUGUGAAAGCCUCGGGCUCAACCUGGGAACGGCAUCCGGAACUGUCAAGCUAGAGUGCAGGAGAGGAAGGUAGAAUUCCCGGUGUAGCGGUGAAAUGCGUAGAGAUCGGGAGGAAUACCAGUGGCGAAGGCGGCCUUCUGGACUGACACUGACACUGAGGUGCGAAAGCGUGGGUAGCAAACAGGAUUAGAUACCCUAGUAGUC
This 465-nucleotide ribosomal RNA is filed under the name Vreelandella stevensii. Its description in RNAcentral is "partial 16S ribosomal RNA". It matches the Rfam family "Bacterial small subunit ribosomal RNA", at positions 338 to 795 of the family's 1533-position model. Lineage: Bacteria; Pseudomonadati; Pseudomonadota; Gammaproteobacteria; Oceanospirillales; Halomonadaceae. The record is from RNAcentral.